RNAcentral lists this ribosomal RNA (492 nucleotides) under uncultured bacterium. Its description in RNAcentral is "bacterial SSU rRNA". It matches the Rfam family "Bacterial small subunit ribosomal RNA", at positions 903 to 1397 of the family's 1533-position model. The record is from RNAcentral.
AAAUGAAUUGACGGGGGCCCGCACAAGCAGCGGAGCAUGUGGUUUAAUUCGAUGCAACGCGAAGAACCUUACCAGGUCUUGACAUCCUUUGACCGUCUAAGAGAUUAGAUCUUCCCUUCGGGGACAAAGUGACAGAUGGUGCAUGGUUGUCGUCAGCUCGUGUCGUGAGAUGUUGGGUUAAGUCCCGCAACGAGCGCAACCCCUGUGUUUAGUUGCCAUCAUUAAGUUGGGCACUCUAAACAGACUGCCCGUGAAAGCGGGAGGAAGGUGGGGACGACGUCAAAUCAUCAUGCCUCUUACGACCUGGGCUACACACGUGCUACAAUGGUCUGAACAAAGGGUAGCGAAGUGGUGACAUGGAGCCAAUCUCAUAAAUCAGAUCUCAGUUCGGAUUGCAGGCUGCAACCCGCCUGCAUGAAGUUGGAGUUGCUAGUAAUCGCAGAUCAGAAUGCUGCGGUGAAUGCGUUCCCGGGCCUUGUACACACCGCCCGU